Triticum urartu is the source of this 172-nucleotide non-coding RNA. Lineage: Eukaryota; Viridiplantae; Streptophyta; Magnoliopsida; Poales; Poaceae. The record is from Rfam.
CUACUUACCUGGACGGUGUCUAUGAGUGAUCAAUAAGGCUCAUGGUCUAGAUCAAUGGCUCACAUUGCACUUUGUGAGUGCGUUGAUCUAUGUUGAUCUACCAUCUUCUUUUUGUGGGAAAGUGAACGUUGUAGUUCGUGAUAGAGGGGCUAUGUGUUCGCGCAGCCCCUAC